GGUUAAGCGACUAAGCGUACACGGUGGAUGCCCUGGCAGUCAGAGGCGAUGAAGGACGUGCUAAUCUGCGAUAAGCGUCGGUAAGGUGAUAUGAACCGUUAUAACCGGCGAUUUCCGAAUGGGGAAACCCAGUGUGUUUCGACACACUAUCAUUAACUGAAUCCAUAGGUUAAUGAGGCGAACCGGGGGAACUGAAACAUCUAAGUACCCCGAGGAAAAGAAAUCAACCGAGAUUCCCCCAGUAGCGGCGNNNNNNNNNNNNNNNNNNNNNNNNNNNNNNNNNNNNNNNNNNNAGUGGAAGCGUCUGGAAAGGCGCGCGAUACAGGGUGACAGCCCCGUACACAAAAAUGCACAUAUUGUGAGCUCGAUGAGUAGGGCGGGACACGUGGUAUCCUGUCUGAAUAUGGGGGGACCAUCCUCCAAGGCUAAAUACUCCUGACUGACCGAUAGUGAACCAGUACCGUGAGGGAAAGGCGAAAAGAACCCCGGCGAGGGGAGUGAAAAAGAACCUGAAACCGUGUACGUACAAGCAGUGGGAGCACGCUUAGGCGUGUGACUGCGUACCUUUUGUAUAAUGGGUCAGCGACUUAUAUUCUGUAGCAAGGUUAACCGAAUAGGGGAGCCGAAGGGAAACCGAGUCUUAACUGGGCGUUAAGUUGCAGGGUAUAGACCCGAAACCCGGUGAUCUAGCCAUGGGCAGGUUGAAGGUUGGGUAACACUAACUGGAGGACCGAACCGACUAAUGUUGAAAAAUUAGCGGAUGACUUGUGGCUGGGGGUGAAAGGCCAAUCAAACCGGGAGAUAGCUGGUUCUCCCCGAAAGCUAUUUAGGUAGCGCCUCGUGAAUUCAUCUCCGGGGGUAGAGCACUGUUUCGGCAAGGGGGUCAUCCCGACUUACCAACCCGAUGCAAACUGCGAAUACCGGAGAAUGUUAUCACGGGAGACACACGGCGGGUGCUAACGUCCGUCGUGAAGAGGGAAACAACCCAGACCGCCAGCUAAGGUCCCAAAGUCAUGGUUAAGUGGGAAACGAUGUGGGAAGGCCCAGACAGCCAGGAUGUUGGCUUAGAAGCAGCCAUCAUUUAAAGAAAGCGUAAUAGCUCACUGGUCGAGUCGGCCUGCGCGGAAGAUGUAACGGGGCUAAACCAUGCACCGAAGCUGCGGCAGCGACACUAUGUGUUGUUGGGUAGGGGAGCGUUCUGUAAGCCUGUGAAGGUGUGCUGUGAGGCAUGCUGGAGGUAUCAGAAGUGCGAAUGCUGACAUAAGUAACGAUAAAGCGGGUGAAAAGCCCGCUCGCCGGAAGACCAAGGGUUCCUGUCCAACGUUAAUCGGGGCAGGGUGAGUCGACCCCUAAGGCGAGGCCGAAAGGCGUAGUCGAUGGGAAACAGGUUAAUAUUCCUGUACUUGGUGUUACUGCGAAGGGGGGACGGAGAAGGCUAUGUUGGCCGGGCGACGGUUGUCCCGGUUUAAGCGUGUAGGCUGGUUUUCCAGGCAAAUCCGGAAAAUCAAGGCUGAGGCGUGAUGACGAGGCACUACGGUGCUGAAGCAACAAAUGCCCUGCUUCCAGGAAAAGCCUCUAAGCAUCAGGUAACAUCAAAUCGUACCCCAAACCGACACAGGUGGUCAGGUAGAGAAUACCAAGGCGCUUGAGAGAACUCGGGUGAAGGAACUAGGCAAAAUGGUGCCGUAACUUCGGGAGAAGGCACGCUGAUAUGUAGGUGAAGUCCCUCGCGGAUGGAGCUGAAAUCAGUCGAAGAUACCAGCUGGCUGCAACUGUUUAUUAAAAACACAGCACUGUGCAAACACGAAAGUGGACGUAUACGGUGUGACGCCUGCCCGGUGCCGGAAGGUUAAUUGAUGGGGUUAGCGGUAACGCGAAGCUCUUGAUCGAAGCCCCGGUAAACGGCGGCCGUAACUAUAACGGUCCUAAGGUAGCGAAAUUCCUUGUCGGGUAAGUUCCGACCUGCACGAAUGGCGUAAUGAUGGCCAGGCUGUCUCCACCCGAGACUCAGUGAAAUUGAACUCGCUGUGAAGAUGCAGUGUACCCGCGGCAAGACGGAAAGACCCCGUGAACCUUUACUAUAGCUUGACACUGAACAUUGAGCCUUGAUGUGUAGGAUAGGUGGGAGGCUUUGAAGUGUGGACGCCAGUCUGCAUGGAGCCGACCUUGAAAUACCACCCUUUAAUGUUUGAUGUUCUAACGUUGACCCGUAAUCCGGGUUGCGGACAGUGUCUGGUGGGUAGUUUGACUGGGGCGGUCUCCUCCUAAAGAGUAACGGAGGAGCACGAAGGUUGGCUAAUCCUGGUCGGACAUCAGGAGGUUAGUGCAAUGGCAUAAGCCAGCUUGACUGCGAGCGUGACGGCGCGAGCAGGUGCGAAAGCAGGUCAUAGUGAUCCGGUGGUUCUGAAUGGAAGGGCCAUCGCUCAACGGAUAAAAGGUACUCCGGGGAUAACAGGCUGAUACCGCCCAAGAGUUCAUAUCGACGGCGGUGUUUGGCACCUCGAUGUCGGCUCAUCACAUCCUGGGGCUGAAGUAGGUCCCAAGGGUAUGGCUGUUCGCCAUUUAAAGUGGUACGCGAGCUGGGUUUAGAACGUCGUGAGACAGUUCGGUCCCUAUCUGCCGUGGGCGCUGGAGAACUGAGGGGGGCUGCUCCUAGUACGAGAGGACCGGAGUGGACGCAUCACUGGUGUUCGGGUUGUCAUGCCAAUGGCACUGCCCGGUAGCUAAAUGCGGAAGAGAUAAGUGCUGAAAGCAUCUAAGCACGAAACUUGCCCCGAGAUGAGUUCUCCCUGACUCCUUGAGAGUCCUGAAGGAACGUUGAAGACGACGACGUUGAUAGGCCGGGUGUGUAAGCGCAGCGAUGCGUUGAGCUAACCGGUACUAAUGAACCGUGAGGCUUAACCUU
RNAcentral lists this ribosomal RNA (2905 nucleotides) under Escherichia coli. RNAcentral describes it as "23S ribosomal RNA". It matches the Rfam family "Bacterial large subunit ribosomal RNA". Lineage: Bacteria; Pseudomonadati; Pseudomonadota; Gammaproteobacteria; Enterobacterales; Enterobacteriaceae. The record is from RNAcentral.